CUAAGUCGAACAUAACGACAGUUAAACAAAUGUACGUUCUGACCGCACACUGUAAUGCGGAGAUACAAAUAACAGAUAUAAAAGAAUGUGAAGGAGAGUUGCA
Molecule: non-coding RNA, 103 nt
Filed under: unclassified sequences
Description: GP20-a RNA
Rfam family: GP20-a RNA
About the family: gut metagenomes.
Source: RNAcentral